This 301-nucleotide ribosomal RNA is filed under the name uncultured bacterium. RNAcentral's name for it is "partial 16S ribosomal RNA". It matches the Rfam family "Bacterial small subunit ribosomal RNA", at positions 509 to 808 of the family's 1533-position model. The record is from RNAcentral.
CAGUCGCCGCGGUAAUACGUAGGGUGCGAGCGUUGUCCGGAAUUACUGGGCGUAAAGGGCUCGUAGGUGGUUUGUCGCGUCGUCUGUGAAAUUCCGGGGCUUAACUCCGGGCGUGCAGGCGAUACGGGCAUAACUUGAGUACUGUAGGGGUAACUGGAAUUCCUGGUGUAGCGGUGAAAUGCGCAGAUAUCAGGAGGAACACCGAUGGCGAAGGCAGGUUACUGGGCAGUUACUGACGCUGAGGAGCGAAAGCAUGGGUAGCGAACAGGAUUAGAUACCCCAGUAGUCCCUGUCUCUUAUA